RNAcentral lists this non-coding RNA (266 nucleotides) under Lachnospiraceae bacterium. RNAcentral describes it as "T-box sequence". It matches the Rfam family "T-box leader". Rfam says of the family: Uncharged tRNA acts as the effector for transcription antitermination of genes in the T-box leader family. T-boxes are found upstream of many aminoacyl-tRNA synthetase genes and some amino acid biosynthetic genes usually in Gram-positive bacteria. Lineage: Bacteria; Bacillati; Bacillota; Clostridia; Lachnospirales; Lachnospiraceae. The record is from RNAcentral.
CAAAAAGCAUCGACGAGGAGGAGUACAUGCAUUCCUGAUGAACAGAGAGAAAGUGGCUGGUGAAAACUUUCGUGAAGGGUGUAUGGAAGUAGCCUUUGAGCUUUGGAUUGAACAGAGAACAGACUCUUAGUAGACUCCAACGGAGAUUCCCACCGUUAUCAAGGGAAGCGAUAUCGGAAUCCAGUAAGGGCAUUCCCGCAUCGUACAGAGUGCAGAAUUUUUUCUGAAUUUAGGUGGUACCACGGACAUGUCAGUCCGCCCUAAGC